GGAAUAUUGGACAAUGGGCGCAAGCCUGAUCCAGCCAUGCCGCGUGCAGGAUGACGGUCCUAUGGAUUGUAAACUGCUUUUAUACGAGAAGAAACAUCCCGACGUGUCGGGACUUGACGGUAUCGUAAGAAUAAGGAUCGGCUAACUCCGUGCCAGCAGCCGCGGUAAUACGGAGGAUCCAAGCGUUAUCCGGAAUCAUUGGGUUUAAAGGGUCCGUAGGCGGUUUAAUAAGUCAGUGGUGAAAGCCCAUCGCUCAACGGUGGAACGGCCAUUGAUACUGUUAGACUUGAAUUAUUAGGAAGUAACUAGAAUAUGUAGUGUAGCGGUGAAAUGCUUAGAGAUUACAUGGAAUACCAAUUGCGAAGGCAGGUUACUACUAAUUGAUUGACGCUGAUGGACGAAAGCGUGGGUAGCGAACAGGAUUAGAUACCCUUG
RNAcentral lists this ribosomal RNA (435 nucleotides) under uncultured Flavobacterium sp. Its description in RNAcentral is "bacterial SSU rRNA". It matches the Rfam family "Bacterial small subunit ribosomal RNA", at positions 358 to 790 of the family's 1533-position model. Lineage: Bacteria; Pseudomonadati; Bacteroidota; Flavobacteriia; Flavobacteriales; Flavobacteriaceae. The record is from RNAcentral.